UGGGGAAUAUUGCAUAAUGGAGGGAACUCUGAUGCAGCGACGCCGCGUGAACGAAGAAGGCUUUCGAGUCGUAAAGUUCUUUUAUAUGGGAAGAUAAUGACGGUACCAUAAGAAGAAGCCCCGGCUAACUACGUGCCAGCAGCCGCGGUAAUACGUAGGGGGCUAGCGUUGUCCGGAAUCACUGGGCGUAAAGGGUUCGCAGGCGGAAAUGCAAGUCAGGUGUAAAAGGCAGUAGCUUAACUACUGUAAGCAUUUGAAACUGCAUAUCUUGAGAAGAGUAGAGGUAAGUGGAAUUUUUAGUGUAGCGGUGAAAUGCGUAGAUAUUAAAAAGAAUACCGGUGGCGAAGGCGACUUACUGGGCUCAUUCUGACGCUGAGGAACGAAAGCGUGGGUAGCAAACAGG
Molecule: ribosomal RNA, 403 nt
Filed under: bacterium
Lineage: Bacteria
Description: partial 16S ribosomal RNA
Rfam family: Bacterial small subunit ribosomal RNA
Source: RNAcentral